This 463-nucleotide ribosomal RNA is filed under the name Anopheles maculatus. RNAcentral describes it as "partial 16S ribosomal RNA". Lineage: Eukaryota; Metazoa; Arthropoda; Insecta; Diptera; Culicidae. The record is from RNAcentral.
GGGUUUUUUUGGAAUUUAUUUAAGGCUAACCUGCCCUUCUGAAUUUUAAAGGGCCGCGGUAUUUUGUCCGUGCGAAGGUAGCAUAAUCAAUAGUCUUUUAAUUGAAGGCUGGUAUGAAUGGUUGAAUGAGAUAUAUACUGUUUUUUUAAAAAUUUUAUAGAACUUUAUUUUUUAAUUAAAAAGUUAAAAUAUAAUUAAAAGACGAGAAGACCCUAUAGAUCUUUAUUUUUAUAAAUUAUAAUUUAUAAAGAAUUUUAAAAAUUAUAUUUUAAAUAAAAUUUUACUGGGGUGGUAUUAAAAUUAAAUUAACUUUUAUUAUUUAUUUACAUUAAUUUAUGAAUAAAAGAUCCUUUAUUAUGGAUUAAAAAUUUAAGUUACCUUAGGAUAACAGCGUAAUUUUUUUAGAGAGUUCACAUCGAUAAAAAAAUUGGACCUCAAUGUUGGAUUAAGAGUUAUUUUUAGG